CACUGCCCGGUAGCUAAAUGCGGAAGAGAUAAGUGCUGAAAGCAUCUAAGCACGAAACUUGCCCCGAGAUGAGUUCUCCCUGAGACUUAAAGUCUCCUGAAGGAACGUUGAAGACGACGACGUUGAUAGGCCGGGUGUGUAAGCGCAGCGAUGCGUUGAGCUAACCGGUACUAAUGAACCGUGAGGCUUAACCUUACAACGCCGAAG
RNAcentral lists this ribosomal RNA (207 nucleotides) under Salmonella enterica subsp. enterica serovar Dublin. RNAcentral's name for it is "partial 23S ribosomal RNA". It matches the Rfam family "Bacterial large subunit ribosomal RNA", at positions 2736 to 2925 of the family's 2925-position model. Lineage: Bacteria; Pseudomonadati; Pseudomonadota; Gammaproteobacteria; Enterobacterales; Enterobacteriaceae. The record is from RNAcentral.